CAGCCCUCGGAGCGCCGGGCCCCGGCUCCCCCAGGGCUCCCAAAGCUUACUUUGGUUUGUUUGCCCCCCUUCCGCUGAGGAAGGCGAGUUGAAGCGUGCAGGAGGUGUGUAGGCCUGCGACAACAAACGGAUCCAUUAAGGAGUAAUUGAUAGGGGGGAGCUCAGUCUCACGGGGAAAUAAAAUUGUGGGCGUUUUUAGGACAACCUUCCCUGUAAUCCUUAUUUUUAAUACGCUCCGAGCCAUAUCCUUCCUGCUGUUAUCUGGGAGAGAUCUUUCCUGGAUACACCUGAUUAAUUGAUGCUUACAAAGGCAUAACUGAUUCUUCAUGAUGGCGAAACAACUAAACGUGCUUUCUUGUACAUCCUCUUUGCUGAGCGGUUACCUGGUUAAUCUUUCCAGGAUCACACUCAGCUGUGCAACUGGCUCUGCUCUGAAAUUGCCUGUAGAGCUUUUUCAAGGUGGUGUGGCUCUCUUUCUGGGAAAGUUCACGACAGAGAGCAUUUAGGGAAAACACAACGGAAGAUGGAUGAAAUCUUGGUGGUUCAAUCAAAUUUUUUACUUCAACUGUGAGGGGUGUCCCAAAUAUUUGGUACUCAUGUGCAACAGAGUGGUGGAAUGCAGCUACAUUCCUGACACCAAUCAUCAGUGAGUGAGUCCGCAUGUGUUCAAAAUCCAGCUCCUAAAAGAUCCCGUAAAUACAGUUUGUGCAAAUACAGGAGGGUUAUCAUUUAUAUCCAGGACUCUGACUCGAAGUUCCAGAGGUGGUUCCAAAUCUAUACCGGUCACUGAGUGUUUAGCAAAGCAACGUAUCUAAACAGAGAGAUUUACUCAUUUUAAAACCAAAAGGGGUUUCCCAGGAUGAGAGAAAGAGAAAAGAAAAAUGUCACUGGUUGGAGCUGCCUGGGAAGUAGUUUCAUGGAAAUGUUCUAGGAAGCCUCUGGUUACUCCUCAGCAGCCACAUGGAUUCACCUUAUGAAACUGUCUCAGCAGAGCUGGGAAUGUUCCAACAUCUUUCUUUUAUUCUACAUUCUGUGCUUUUACUACUCUAAGCAUACGUAUUUUUAAAUCUCUCUGCUUUUAUCAGUGUAUCUUUGGCAAAACUUCCUUGUCAGUGAAUACUUGUGUUUUUCUUUCUACUUACUCUG
This is a long non-coding RNA of Haemorhous mexicanus (house finch), 1146 nucleotides long. RefSeq lists it as uncharacterized. The record is from RefSeq and is a predicted model, not a curated record. The transcript is spliced from 5 exons. Lineage: Eukaryota; Metazoa; Chordata; Aves; Passeriformes; Fringillidae.